Molecule: long non-coding RNA, 216 nt
Filed under: Hordeum vulgare
Lineage: Eukaryota; Viridiplantae; Streptophyta; Magnoliopsida; Poales; Poaceae
Description: long non-coding RNA (HVUL_LNC009905)
Source: RNAcentral
UCUGUUUAAGCCGGCCCUCACUUGACCCAAUCGAUGCUUUAACCUAAUAAGUUCGGAUGCGACUUAUUGACAAUACACGGGGUUAUAGUUGCAUCAUGCAGACAUGCAAGUUUAACCAAGUUUCAAAGAAGGCGGCUGAAUAGCCCAUGGAGUAUCCUCGCUUUCUGUAGGGCGGCUCCCACAUGACCCAAUCGAUGUUUUAACCUGGAUAAGUUC